ACCCGCAGGUGUCCGAAUGGGGAAACCCGGCAGCAGGAGUGCUGUCAUCCGAAAGGAAGGGAACCCGGUGAACUGAAACAUCUAAGUAGCCGGAGGAAAAGGAAUCAACAGAGAUACCCUCAGUAGCGGCGAGCGAACGGGGAAGAGCCCAAACCGGAGCGGGAAACCGCUGUGGGGUUGCGGACUGCUAACAAAUGGUUGGACGAAGCAGAACCAGUUGGGAAACUGGGCCAGAGACGGUGAGAGCCCGGUAAGCGUAAGGAAGACCAUGGAGCAGGAUCCAGAGUACCACGGGGCACGAGGAACCUUGUGGGAAGCAGGGGGGACCACCCUCCAAGGCGAAACACUGAUAUGGACCGAUAGCGAAUAGUACCGUGAGGGAACGGUGAAAAGAACCCCGGGAGGGGAAUGAAAGAGAACCUGAAACCGUAUGUCUACAAACAGUCGGAGCGCUUUACAUGCGCGACGGCGUGCCUAUUGAAGAAUGAACCGGCGAGUUACUGUUGCCAGCGAGGUUAAGCGGGAAACGCGGAGCCGAAGCGAAAGCGAGUCUGAACAGGGCGAUAAGUUGGUAGCAGUAGACCCGAAACCACAGUGAUCUACCCAUGUCCAGGUUGAAGCACAGGUAAAAAUGUGUGGAGGACCGAACCAGUGAGCGUUGAAAAGCUUUUGGAUGAGAUGUGGGUAGGGGUGAAAUGCCAAUCGAACGUGGAGAUAGCUGGUUCUCCCCGAAAUAGCUUUAGGGCUAGCCUCAUGGUAAGAGUACAGGCGGUAGAGCACUGAACGAGGUAGGGGCCUGUCCGGCUACCGAACUUAAUCAAACUGCGAAUGGCUGUACUUAUACAUGGGAGUCAGACUGCGAGUAAUAAGGCCCGUAGUCAAGAGGGAAACAGCCCAGACCAACAGCUAAGGUCCCCAAUGCCGUACUAAGUGGCGAAGGAUGUGGAAUUUCGAAAACAACCAGGAUGUUGGCUUAGAAGCAGCCACCAUUAAAAGAGUGCGUAAUAGCUCACUGGUCGAGAGACUCUGCGCCGAAGAUGACCGGGGCUAAAGUACGGAACCGAAGCUUUGGCAAGUAUCGUAAGAUACUUGGGUAGGGGAGCGUUCCUGCAUGGGAGAAGCCUGACCGGAAGGACAGGUGGACAAGCAGGAAGAGAGAAUGCCGGUAUGAGUAGCGAAAAGAAAGGUGAGAAUCCUUUCCACCGAAAGCCUAAGGGUUCCUGGGCAACGAUCGUCGACCCAGGGUAAGUCGGGACCUAAUCCGAGGCGGAGACGCGUAGGAGAUGGACAACAGGUUGAAAAUCCUGUACCGCAGGAGUCUGUUUGAGCGAAGGAGUGACACAGAAAGGAAUGCGCGCGUGCGAUUGGAAGAGCACGUCCAAGCUGGUAGGUUGUGUGGCAGGCAAAUCCGCCAUACUAAAAGCCGAGAAGUGAUGGGGAGCCAUUGGAGACAAUGGCGAAGGGGCAGGAACUAGGCUGUCGAGAAAAGCUUCUAGUGAGGACUCAGGCGCCCGUACCGAAACCGACACAGGUAGGCAGGAAGAGAAUUCUAAGGUGCGCGGGAAAACCCUCGUUAAGGAACUCGGCAAAAUGUAUCCGUAACUUCGGGAAAAGGAUAGCCUAAAGUAUGUGAGCUGCAGAAACGCAGGGAGCAGGAAUAGGCGGCAGAAGAGAGGCCCAAGCGACUGUUUACCACAAACACAGGCGUCUGCUAAAGCGAAAGCUGACGUAUAGAUGCUGACACCUGCCCGGUGCUGGAAGGUUAAGAGGACGUGUUAGCCGUAAGGCGAAGCAGAGAAUUGAAGCCCCAGUAAACGGCGGCCGUAACUAUAACGGUCCUAAGGUAGCGAAAUUCCUUGUCGGGUAAGUUCCGACCCGCACGAAAGG
RNAcentral lists this ribosomal RNA (1887 nucleotides) under uncultured Ruminococcus sp. RNAcentral describes it as "bacterial LSU rRNA". It matches the Rfam family "Bacterial large subunit ribosomal RNA", at positions 102 to 1999 of the family's 2925-position model. Lineage: Bacteria; Bacillati; Bacillota; Clostridia; Eubacteriales; Oscillospiraceae. The record is from RNAcentral.